UUUAUUGUCAGUUGGUGUUA
This 20-nucleotide small nuclear RNA is filed under the name Arabidopsis thaliana (thale cress). Its description in RNAcentral is "snRNA_03558". Lineage: Eukaryota; Viridiplantae; Streptophyta; Magnoliopsida; Brassicales; Brassicaceae. The record is from RNAcentral.